RNAcentral lists this ribosomal RNA (207 nucleotides) under uncultured bacterium. Its description in RNAcentral is "partial 16S ribosomal RNA". It matches the Rfam family "Bacterial small subunit ribosomal RNA", at positions 568 to 774 of the family's 1533-position model. The record is from RNAcentral.
AGCGUAGACGGAUAGGCAAGUCUGGAGUGAAAACCCAGGGCUCAACCUUGGGACUGCUUUGGAAACUGCAGAUCUGGAGUGCCGGAGAGGUAAGCGGAAUUCCUAGUGUAGCGGUGAAAUGCGUAGAUAUUAGGAGGAACACCAGUGGCGAAGGCGGCUUACUGGACGGUGACUGACGUUGAGGCUCGAAAGCGUGGGGAGCAAACA